GGGUGCGUAGCUCAGUUGGUUCAGAGCAUCUGGUUUACACCCAGAAGGUCAGGGGUUCGAAUCCCUUCGCACCCACAA
This 78-nucleotide transfer RNA is filed under the name Psychroflexus sp. S27. RNAcentral describes it as "tRNA-Val". It matches the Rfam family "tRNA". Rfam says of the family: Transfer RNA (tRNA) molecules are approximately 80 nucleotides in length. The record is from RNAcentral. Lineage: Bacteria; Pseudomonadati; Bacteroidota; Flavobacteriia; Flavobacteriales; Flavobacteriaceae.